Molecule: RNA transcript, 483 nt
Organism: Fragaria vesca subsp. vesca
Lineage: Eukaryota; Viridiplantae; Streptophyta; Magnoliopsida; Rosales; Rosaceae
Exons: 2
Source: RefSeq, a predicted model, not a curated record
CCUUCUAAACGACUAAAACGCAAACGGUUGCCUCCAUCAAAUACUGAAAUCGUCAGUCUCCGUAGUUUCUCAAUUCUCAGUUUCGAUUCUUCGAUCAAAUCGACAACGAGGCUCGCAGUCAUGUAGUUGUCUUCGAGAAGCAGAAGGAGAGGUCGAGGAGCAAGUUGAGAUCACAGAUAUGGGGAGCAGUACAACGUCACGGAGGCGGCGGAGCAGGUCAAGGUCACAGACGAUAUAGAGGAGCAGGUUUGGGUCGCAGAUCUGAGGAGCAGGACGACUACACGGAGGCGACAGAACAGGUCGACUUCGCUUUGCAUGUGAAAUUUCUCGCCGGAGAAAGAAGAUCGGAGUGCUUGCUUUGGUCGGAGUGGAGAAGGACUGGCAAGACCGGCCCGUUUAUGCCGGUCUGGGCUUUGACCGGUCCCUGUGUUCAUAAGCAACCAACCCGACCCGGAUUCUCAACGGCCGGUCCAGGCCCGGUUC